AAAUAUUUAAUUUAAUUUACAAUAACAAGAGUGCCCCCGAAUAAACAAAAGUAAAGAGGACUGUGAACCUACGGUUUGGAAAAUGCAAAUCCCACUGUAGUCCUCGAUGAGAUCAGCUAUCUACAGUCUAUACUGAACCUGAAAUGGGUGGAAAUGAGGGUGGUGAGAUUAUAAAAUCGCAAUGAGUAAACAGUCAUCAUCAUAAACAUCUAGAGUUGAGUACAUGGAGAUAAUAAAGUAAAUCAUCAUAAACUGGGUUAUACAAUUAGAACACAUCUCAUUCAAAAUAUGUAAAAAGGCUUAUGAAUCUCAUAAAAAUCUAGGCUUGUGCCAUAAAUCCAUUCUCGGGGACACCUUGGCCGAGGCAUCCUACCGAGACCGCCAAGGCUAUUAAAAUUCACAUUUCACAUAAAUCAUGUUUUUGUUUUGAAAACAUAGCCGUUCCUUGGCGUUGGCUGAGUUCCCCCUCACGUGGUGGUUUAGCGUGAAGUGAACCCUAAACUUUACCCCAGGAGAUACCCUACGCGCCUCUCCGUUCGAGGUAAGAAUAUAAUGGGGUUUACCGUGCCCCUCUAAAAGGCUGGUCCACAGAAACCCCCUACUGCAGUGAUUAAUUAAUAUAUAAUCCACCAUAUAAUAAAACUCAAUAACAUGAUAUGGCAAUUUUGUAAUUCGUAGUUUUUCAAGGUAACCAAACAAUUCGCAUUUCAAUACAAUUGCCAACUAGCCAAUCAUGCUCGAUUUAUCAUAAGCCAGUUAAUUUAAACAAUCAAAUUGCCACAAUUAACAGUCUCCGUGUACUCUAUUUUUCAAAAUCACUAUUAAUUUCAAAACAAUUUAUAAUUUAAUUUCAUUGAAACUCAUUUAUUCAUAAAACAUGAAAAUUUAUCUUUUUAAAUUCCUUUUUCCAUAGAAUUCAUGAAAGCAUCUAAAAACCACCCUAGAUAAUUAAAAUGACAGUAAGUUUACUCACAAUGUCUAGAAUGCAGACUUUCGAAGCACUCUGUCUACUGGUCCUCGGAUGCAAUUUCCUUGCCUUUAUCGGAGGACUCACCACCUUGACACAGUACAAAAUCGAGAGUUUCACCAAGUUGGUACUAAAUCAAAAUUAAACUAAUUUAGACUACCAAUGCAUGAUAUGGAAUGCAAAAAUGCACUGGUAACUAUCUAAACCCGGUAUUGGCCUAAUUCGUCUUAUCACCCGAUUAAAUUCCUAACGGGUCCGUUUAAACUCCAAUUUAAUUCUUUUCAGUUUCUAUACCUCAAUUGCACCCAAAUUAACUUAAUGUCCCUCAGUGUGGUGCAAAUUAUCAGUCCCAACAGCAAAUUACGAAAAUACCCCUAGUGGGUAAAAAUUCGUAUUUUUGCUCCGAAAAUUCCCAUUAUUUUUCUAGGCUCAUAAUUCAUUAUUCCUUAACCAAUUCUCCUAGAAUAAAAUCAAACUCAUCCUCACUCACUACAUGGUAAAUUCAGCCAUUAAUGGUUGGGGGAGAAAAUAAAUUCUUUUCUUGUUGUUUUGUUUCUAAAUAUGCUAAACUAACUAAAAACACUAACAUAAAUUAAAAUCAAAUAAAUCCAACAACUUUCUCUCUCCUAACCCAUUUUUUCAGAAUUGAAUUCAUCAUGAAAACAUGUAAUUUAAUCAUGGAAAAUAAAGAGAAAUGCUUGGGAAUAAGAAAACUCAAGCUUAAUAGAAAAAUCUCACCUUUUUCACUUAAUUUCCUUGAAAAUUCACGCUUCUUCUUUGAUUUUCUCUCUCUAGGGUUUUGUUUUUAUUUUCUCUCUCUUCUUGCUGGUUUGGCCGGCCAUGGGGUGGAAGAUGAGCUGAUUUUUGUGCCU
This 1839-nucleotide long non-coding RNA is filed under the name Theobroma cacao (cacao). RNAcentral describes it as "long non-coding RNA (TCAC_LNC003091)". The record is from RNAcentral. Lineage: Eukaryota; Viridiplantae; Streptophyta; Magnoliopsida; Malvales; Malvaceae.